Long non-coding RNA from Cyprinus carpio carpio, 763 nucleotides. Lineage: Eukaryota; Metazoa; Chordata; Actinopteri; Cypriniformes; Cyprinidae. The record is from Ensembl.
AAAAAGUAAAAUUUCAGUUUGCUCUUCACAAAAAGCUCCAAGACUUAAAUAAGCAGAAUUAAAUAAGAAAUACAGUGCAUGAGACAUACUACAUUUAAAGUGUUUUUAUGCUCAGCAGAUCCUGCAAAAAUAUCUUCUUUCAACAAAGAACAUAAUGGCACAUGCAUUUGGAAGAACGAGAGGAUCCAUUGGCUGGGAUCUCUACGGCGGAAUGCUGCUGGGACCCCCUUCUAACCUCCCCCCAACCCUCCCCUUGAGUGCACCCACCCAUUAGGAAUUCCAGCAGGGCAUUGUGGGUGGGAUGAAUGGGGUCAGAGCCAAGGAAUGAAAUUUCGAAACCCUCGACAUCAGUGGCGCCUCUGAUGUCAGACGGACUGUGGCUGUCAGAAGUGUUAGCAGGGUGCCUGAUGUCUCAACCUUCCCCUAUUUACAGAUCCGGCAAAUCCAGGCACCCAAACAACCCUGUCUACCACUAUUCAUCCUCUAAAUACUGAUAAAAACAACUGUCUGACCACAGACGCAGUGGAAUGUGCUUUACAGCUUUUCACAAGGGCAGACAGUUUCUCAGACAGCUGCCAAUUCUCCCACAAAUGUGCAAGACUGGGGUUCACAAGAGGUAAAGCCUCGCAAGAAAGCUUGUGUAGGCACUGUUACCUUCACAGCUGGGCUUUCUGUUACACCGGGCCCGGAUCCAAAGCUCUGGAUGAGCUUAAGCUUGCUGUCCUUUGCCCAAUCUGCAUGGACAAGUCCUCCCUACCACCAC